UCAAAAACAUGUCUUUUUGAAGUUAAUUUAAAGUCUAAUCUGCCCACUGAUAAAUAUUAAAGGGCUGCAGUAUAUUGACUGUACAAAGGUAGCAUAAUCAUUAGUUUUUUAAUUGAAAACUUGUAUGAAGGAUUUGAUGAAAUAAUAACUGUCUCUAAAUUAAAAAUAUAAUUUUAUUUUUUAGUAAAAAAGCUAAAAUAAAUUUAAAAGACGAGAAGACCCUAUAGAGUUUUAUAAAAAAAAUUAUUUAAAAUUUUAUAUUUAAUUUUUAAAUUUAAUUAAAUUUUUUAUUUUAUUGGGGUGAUAGAAAAAUUAAAUUAACUUUUUUUAAAUAAUAGAUAUUAAUGAAUAGAUAAAUGAUCCAUAAAUAAUGAUUAUAAGAAAAAAUUACCUUAGGGAUAACAGCGUAAUAUUAUUUUUUAGUUCAAAUAAAAAAUAAAGUUUGCGACCUCGAUGUUGGAUUAAGAUAAAAUUUAAAUGCAAAAGUUUAAAAUUUUGAUCUGUUCGAUCAUUAAAAUCUUACAUGAUCUGAG
This 533-nucleotide ribosomal RNA is filed under the name Elymnias hypermnestra (common palmfly). RNAcentral's name for it is "partial 16S ribosomal RNA". The stretch from base 398 to 533 matches the Rfam family "Archaeal large subunit ribosomal RNA", at positions 2542 to 2678 of the family's 2987-position model. The record is from RNAcentral. Lineage: Eukaryota; Metazoa; Arthropoda; Insecta; Lepidoptera; Nymphalidae.